This 325-nucleotide unclassified non-coding RNA is filed under the name uncultured bacterium. RNAcentral describes it as "contains 16S-23S intergenic spacer region". The record is from RNAcentral.
GGACCACCCGUGCCUACUGUCGGAGCUUGAUUACGAGGAUCGUCUGGCGAUCUCAAAGUCUGCGCUGAUACGACAGCACAUAAAACCAAAGUAGCGAGCGCGGCAAUAAGCGCCCUAGUUGCGAGUCUCAUCGCAUUCCUCCUGCGAAAUGAGUAUAGAAGUUUGAUUAUGAAUGCCACCGUCGGCAAGUAGCCAGCUUACAAUUGACCGGCGUGUCGUCCUUGCGAUGCGGAGGCGCCAACUACAAGCUGACGAAUCGAACUCUCAAAACCCCGUGUUCAAACCUACGGUGUACGUGAAAACAAGACCAACCAAACCAUGAUCA